GUUCACUUUGACCAUGGUGGAUAUUAUCUUCCCCUAAUUAAGUAUGCUUCUGCUUUUAUUUCCAUAGCCUGUUUGACCGAGAAUAAAACUAUCCCUGCUCUGCUUGGCCUAGUGUUGAACUUGCUCUUCUUGAUGGCAAAUCACUUAACGGUACUAUUCCAUAUCAAUAAUUGGUCGGAAGUUUAGGUUUUUCUAACGGACACCCAUCCUGACAUUAUAUAUGUC
RNAcentral lists this long non-coding RNA (225 nucleotides) under Elaeis guineensis (African oil palm). RNAcentral describes it as "long non-coding RNA (EGUI_LNC036122)". Lineage: Eukaryota; Viridiplantae; Streptophyta; Magnoliopsida; Arecales; Arecaceae. The record is from RNAcentral.